AGAUCCACCGUCUACUUAUAAGACAACCUUGACCUCUGUGUACCCCAUAGAAGGACAUCAUACAUUUUUAUGUGUCCACAGAGUGCUUAUGUUCCUGUGCAGAGGCUCCUGGUCUUGAGAUAGUCGCCUGUGACUCCAAGGGGAAACUCCUUGACCUUGCUCAUCAAACAGAGAUUUGACCAUUUUCUGGCCACUGCUGAAACUGCUGGCAAUUUGGAUGACAUAUUAGUGAGAAGAGGGUCUGAUCUCUGCUCCAUCUGAGAACACACAGUUGAGACGGACUUUCACCAUGUUGUUCAGGCUGGUCUCAAGCUCCUGACCUCACGUGAUCACCUGCCUCAGCCUCCCAAAAUGCUGGGAUUACAGACGGUCUUGCUCUGUCACCUGGCUGGAAUGCAGUGGUGCGGUCUUGGUUCACCACAAACACUGGCUCCCAGUUCGAGAGAUUCUCCUGCCUCAGCCUCCCAAGUAGCUGGGAUUACAGGCAUGCAGCACCACACCCAGGUAAUUUUUGUUUGUUUGCUUGUUUUUUGAGACGGAGUUUCGCUCUUCUUACCCAGGCUGGAGUGCAAUGGCGCAAUCUCGGCUCACCACAACCUCCGCCUCCUGGGUUCAGGCAAUUCUCCUCCUCAGCCUCCUGAGUAGCUGGGAUUACAGGCACAUGCCACCACGC
Molecule: long non-coding RNA, 673 nt
Organism: Callithrix jacchus (white-tufted-ear marmoset)
Lineage: Eukaryota; Metazoa; Chordata; Mammalia; Primates; Cebidae
Source: RefSeq, a predicted model, not a curated record